RNA transcript from Nerophis ophidion (straightnose pipefish), 2194 nucleotides. It is a transcript of the gene named basigin, with no coding region annotated. The record is from RefSeq and is a predicted model, not a curated record. Lineage: Eukaryota; Metazoa; Chordata; Actinopteri; Syngnathiformes; Syngnathidae. The transcript has 10 exons.
CACGCGUACGUGCUGUCCGGGGCGUGUUUGCAAGAGCAGAGAGAGGACGAGGAGAAAAGCACCCGUGACAAAACACUCCGUGCUGAAAGUUCCACGGAGAAAAGCCACGACAGACUUAUCCCGGCGUGUAGUCGAGCACGUACUAUAUUGUCAACCAUGAAUUUAUUAUGGACUGUCGGUGUACUUCUGUUGAGCUGUUGGCGAGCGAACGCCGCGACAGCUGGCUUCAUCAAGUCUCCCCUCUCCGUCACGAAGCUGGUCGGCGACAGCGCAGAGCUGCAUUGUGAGGUGAUAGGGAGCCCCAUUCCUGAGGUGCAGUGGUGGUUCAUUGAGGGACAGGAGCCCAACGAGACCAUCACACAGCUCUUUGACGGCGCACGGAACGACCGUGUGCAGAUAAACGCCACGUAUAUAGAGCACGCCACCAGCAGCGGUCGCCUCACGGGCCUCACCCUUGAAGACUCAGGCACGUACGAGUGUCGCGCCUCCAACGACCCCGACCGCAAUGAGCUGAGGAAGACGCCGAAAAUCAAGUGGAUCCGCUCGCAAGCAAACCUUAUUGUCAUCGAAACCCCAACUAUCAUCACUGACCCCAUUGAAGUCAACAACCAGACCUCUGCCACUCUCAGCUGCAAUUUGACCGACACGACUCUGGUAGUCAAGGGUUCACACUGGACGUACAACGGAAAAAUCAUCGAGAAGACCCAGUCCACAGCCCCCGAUCACCACACCACCUAUCAUUUGGACAAGAUCAACCCCCACAACUCUGGUGGGAAAUAUGAAUGUGUAUUCCUGAGUGACCCAGUGGUGCAGCAGACAAUUGAAGUGAAAACCAUCCCACAUGUUGCAGCCUACAAACACUCUGAGCAUGGCAACGAGAGGGACAAAGGGGUCAUGGUGUGUGUGAGCCAUGGCUACCCGCUGCCUACUGACUGGACCUGGUCCAAGGAGCAAGAUGGUGUCCAAGUGCCUAUUAUCAACGGCACCAGCGACAAGUACGAGAUCAAGAGCACCCCCAACAAAACUAGCCUGACCGUCAACGAACUGAGCAUCGAGGGUGAUGUGGGCGAGUACAUCUGCGCCGGCACCAGUGAACUUGGCACCAGCACCGAUAAGAUCCACCUUAGGGUGCGCAGCCGGCUUGCUGCUCUCUGGCCCUUCCUUGGAAUCGUGGCUGAGGUCAUCAUCCUGGUCACCAUCAUCCUCAUCUACGAGAAGAGGAGAAAGCCGGAUGAGAUUACUGACGAUGAUGACUCAGGCUCGGCUCCUCUGAAAAGCAACUCCACUGCCAACCACAAAGACAAGAAUGUGAGGCAAAGGAAUUCCAACUAAGAGAUGAAAAGGUGAGGGGAGCAGUGGGCAGCAGCGGUGCCGCGCCCGGGAAUCAUUUAAUGAUGAGAAGUCCACACGGGCAGUCACGUCCGAGUUGUCACACUGCACAUUUGUCCCGUGCACCCUGCAAUGUCAAAAUAACCUCUUUUGUGCUGGAGUGUUGAUGUUCUCAAGACAAUGACCGGUUAGCGCUUGCUUUGAUUUUCUUCUUUGACUAACCUUCUCCAUGUUGUGCAGCCAGAGAGCUUUGAAUGUGUGAAAUACUUCCCUGCUUGAAGCCAACUAUUGCAUGACCUCCAUCACCGUCCUUUAGCCCAGUGUGUUGUUUUAAACCAACUAAAUAAACCAUCGCUAUGUCUUUGGUGAGGAAUGCUUCUUUCGAGGUUAGGUUUCAGUUUCAAAAUCAUCUUUUAAAUUCCUGUCGACUACCCUUUUGUCAUUUUUGAAUCCCCUCUUUUGCUGGUCUUUUUAAAACGCUUGUUAGGUUGUUUUUUCUUUGCUAUAGGAAAACUGUCCUGUUAAUAUUUCUAAAGACUUUUACUUUGUACACUUAGUUUCUUAGUUAAAAAAAAAAUACAUAUGAAGGACCAACUGCAAAAUGUAGGAGCAGUUGCGAUGCCAGUACUACAUCACAAUGUUUCACUUGUUCACCCACAUGAUCUAAACUAAAAAAAAAAAGGGUGUUGGUUGGGUCACUUCACUUAAAAAAAAAAAAAAGUUCCACUUAGCAUUCUGCCUGAGUUGUGUGUUGUGAUUGAAUGUUGCUGUUAACACAUUUAAAGAUUUUAGCCAGAUUUGUGAGAGUUGUACUUUCCGACCUGUUGUACAACCUGUACAAACUGAAUAAAGGUAUAUCAUUUUA